UCAGCUGCUGGGGGUGUUUCAGCACUGGUGCUCAGAGCGAAGGGGCCCGGGCUGCAGACAUGGAACCGGGGCCCGUCAGCGGCAAAGCAGUCAGGGCACCUUACUGAGAGGACAUACGUGAAACCUCUGCCCCUAUGCAGCUGCAUGACUGUGGGCCUCUGAGAUUCUAGUCUCAUCUCGGGAAAUUCUUCCUGGAAAUUAGCAAGAUCAGAAAAGGACCCUUCAUGCCAGACACAGAAGAGACAUGCAAAGCUGCCCAGGUGACUGAUUCUGCAUGCCGCGCACUAUGGAGACCAGGUGCCACCAACACUGAUGAUGCCGUCUGAGGAAGUCUAUUAGGGCCCCGCCAGGUGCCACCGACACUGAUGAUGCCGUCUGAGGAAGUCUAUUAGGGCCCCGCCAGGUGCCACCGACACUGAUGAUGCCGUCUGAGGAAGUCUAUUAGGGCCCCGCCAGGUGCCACCGACACUGAUGAUGCCGUCUGAGGAAGUCUAUUAGGGCCCAUGGCCCCUCUCAAGGUGAACAGACACCAUGAAAAGACACUCAAGGCAAGGCGGUGCUUACACUCCACCCGUUCACACCAGGGCUCCUUGCUCACACGGGUCUUCGAAACCUCACCCGGACUGCCCAAAGUCAACCAACAACGCUCGCCCGCCCGCCCCUCCAGGGUUUUUAGACAGAAUCCUGACCACACGACUCAGACGGGUUGAGACGGGGCUGGGGGGGCAAGUCUGUGGAAGGGAGGAUCCAUGUACAGUAACGGCAGCACCUCAGCACCUGGCAUUGUGACUCCAAAGCACUGGACUCUGAACUUCAAUGAAGGCAUUAAAAAAAAAAAAUCCCUGAAAGACUAACCCCCCUCAAAAUAAAUUUAACAAUAAUGUCCCA
Long non-coding RNA from Erinaceus europaeus (western European hedgehog), 888 nucleotides. RefSeq lists it as uncharacterized. Lineage: Eukaryota; Metazoa; Chordata; Mammalia; Eulipotyphla; Erinaceidae. The record is from RefSeq and is a predicted model, not a curated record. The transcript has 4 exons.